RNAcentral lists this small RNA (96 nucleotides) under Vulpes vulpes (red fox). RNAcentral describes it as "Y RNA (ENSVVUG00000010643.1)". Lineage: Eukaryota; Metazoa; Chordata; Mammalia; Carnivora; Canidae. The record is from RNAcentral.
GGAGUGUAGUGAUGUUUACAAUUAAUUGAUCACAGCUGGUUACAGAUUUCUUUAUUCCACCUUCACGUCAGCACUGCUUCACUUGAGUAGCCUUAG